CUCGGCAGCGUGGGAGAGACCUCCCUCACCGGAGGCGCCGAAGGCGCAACUUCCGCCCGGAAACGCUCAGGCAAAAGGACCGCGCUGCCCGA
RNAcentral lists this non-coding RNA (92 nucleotides) under Ectothiorhodospira magna. Its description in RNAcentral is "Ectothiorhodospira sp. B7-7 Glycine riboswitch aptamer". It matches the Rfam family "Glycine riboswitch aptamer". Rfam says of the family: This family represents the bacterial glycine riboswitch. Glycine riboswitches usually consist of two metabolite-binding aptamers domains with similar structures in tandem. RNAcentral also lists the same sequence under 1 other name. The record is from Rfam by way of RNAcentral. Lineage: Bacteria; Pseudomonadati; Pseudomonadota; Gammaproteobacteria; Chromatiales; Ectothiorhodospiraceae.